Molecule: ribosomal RNA, 301 nt
Filed under: uncultured bacterium
Lineage: Bacteria
Description: partial 16S ribosomal RNA
Rfam family: Bacterial small subunit ribosomal RNA
Source: RNAcentral
CAGUCGCCGCGGUAAUACGUAGGUGGCAAGCGUUGUCCGGAAUUAUUGGGCGUAAAGGGCUCGCAGGCGGUUUCUUAAGUCUGAUGUGAAAGCCCCCGGCUCAACCGGGGAGGGUCAUUGGAAACUGGGAAACUUGAGUGCAGAAGAGGAGAGUGGAAUUCCACGUGUAGCGGUGAAAUGCGUAGAGAUGUGGAGGAGCACCAGUGGCGAAGGCGACUCUCUGGUCUGUAACUGACGCUGAGGAGCGAAAGCGUGGGGAGCGAACAGGAUUAGAUACCCCCGUAGUCCCUGUCUCUUAUAA